GAUGAACGCUGGCGGCGUGCCUAAUACAUGCAAGUCGAGCGAACGGACGAGAAGCUUGCUUCUCUGAUGUUAGCGGCGGACGGGUGAGUAACACGUGGAUAACCUACCUAUAAGACUGGGAUAACUUCGGGAAACCGUAGCUAAUACCGGAUAAUAUUUUGAACCGCAUGGUUCAAAAGUGAAAGACGGUCUUGCUGUCACUUAUAGAUGGAUCCGCGCUGCAUUAGCUAGUUGGUAAGGUAACGGCUUACCAAGGCAACGAUGCAUAGCCGACCUGAGAGGGUGAUCGGCCACACUGGAACUGAGACACGGUCCAGACUCCUACGGGAGGCAGCAGUAGGGAAUCUUCCGCAAUGGGCGAAAGCCUGACGGAGCAACGCCGCGUGAGUGAUGAAGGUCUUCGGAUCGUAAAACUCUGUUAUUAGGGAAGAACAUAUGUGUAAGUAACUGUGCACAUCUUGACGGUACCUAAUCAGAAAGCCACGGCUAACUACGUGCCAGCAGCCGCGGUAAUACGUAGGUGGCAAGCGUUAUCCGGAAUUAUUGGGCGUAAAGCGCGCGUAGGCGGUUUUUUAAGUCUGAUGUGAAAGCCCACGGCUCAACCGUGGAGGGUCAUUGGAAACUGGAAAACUUGAGUGCAGAAGAGGAAAGUGGAAUUCCAUGUGUAGCGGUGAAAUGCGCAGAGAUAUGGAGGAACACCAGUGGCGAAGGCGACUUUCUGGUCUGUAACUGACGCUGAUGUGCGAAAGCGUGGGGAUCAAACAGGAUUAGAUACCCUGGUAGUCCACGCCGUAAACGAUGAGUGCUAAGUGUUAGGGGGUUUCCGCCCCUUAGUGCUGCAGCUAACGCAUUAAGCACUCCGCCUGGGGAGUACGACCGCAAGGUUGAAACUCAAAGGAAUUGACGGGGACCCGCACAAGCGGUGGAGCAUGUGGUUUAAUUCGAAGCAGCGCGAAGAACCUUACCAAAUCUUGACAUCCUUUGACAACUCUAGAGAUAGAGCCUUCCCCUUCGGGGGACAAAGUGACAGGUGGUGCAUGGUUGUCGUCAGCUCGUGUCGUGAGAUGUUGGGUUAAGUCCCGCAACGAGCGCAACCCUUAAGCUUAGUUGCCAUCAUUAAGUUGGGCACUCUAAGUUGACUGCCGGUGACAAACCGGAGGAAGGUGGGGAUGACGUCAAAUCAUCAUGCCCCUUAUGAUUUGGGCUACACACGUGCUACAAUGGACAAUACAAAGGGCAGCGAAACCGCGAGGUCAAGCAAAUCCCAUAAAGUUGUUCUCAGUUCGGAUUGUAGUCUGCAACUCGACUACAUGAAGCUGGAAUCGCUAGUAAUCGUAGAUCAGCAUGCUACGGUGAAUACGUUCCCGGGUCU
This 1372-nucleotide ribosomal RNA is filed under the name uncultured bacterium. RNAcentral's name for it is "bacterial SSU rRNA". It matches the Rfam family "Bacterial small subunit ribosomal RNA", at positions 28 to 1381 of the family's 1533-position model. The record is from RNAcentral.